GUUACAAAUGAUGAUGGGAAAUCUAUUACAUAAUUCUUCUCUCUUCUCCAAUAAGAUUCUUAACAUUGAAAAAGGAUCUUAGAGUGUGCCAGGAAGGCUUCUUAACGUCUUCUUUUUUCUUCCCAUCGGAGUUUUUUCACAAAGACUCGCCAUAGUAAGGGGGAAGGGUGGAACAAGCAAAGCACACUUGUAGAGCGCAGUACAGCGGAGAUGUCCAAUACUAUUUGGUAGCCUUUUCUAUUAUUUAAUUUAGUAUAAUGUCUACUAUUUCUUCUCUUCCUUUGUCAACCACUUAUUUACUAAGGGGU
Molecule: long non-coding RNA, 308 nt
Filed under: Spirodela polyrhiza (greater duckweed)
Lineage: Eukaryota; Viridiplantae; Streptophyta; Magnoliopsida; Alismatales; Araceae
Description: long non-coding RNA (SPOL_LNC001159)
Source: RNAcentral